Molecule: ribosomal RNA, 253 nt
Filed under: uncultured bacterium
Lineage: Bacteria
Description: partial 16S ribosomal RNA
Rfam family: Bacterial small subunit ribosomal RNA
Source: RNAcentral
UACGUAGGGUGCGAGCGUUGUCCGGAAUUAUUGGGCGUAAAGAGCUCGUAGGCGGCCUGUUGCGUCGGUUGUGAAAGCCCGGGGCUUAACCCCGGGUCUGCAGUCGAUACGGGCAGGCUAGAGUGUGGUAGGGGAGACUGGAAUUCCUGGUGUAGCGGUGAAAUGCGCAGAUAUCAGGAGGAACACCGAUGGCGAAGGCAGGUCUCUGGGCCACUACUGACGCUGAGAAGCGAAAGCAUGGGGAGCGAACAGG